UACGAAGGGGGCUAGCGUUGCUCGGAAUUACUGGGCGUAAAGCGCACGUAGGCGGAUCGAUCAGUCAGGGGUGAAAUCCCAGAGCUCAACUCUGGAACUGCCUUUGAUACUGUCGAUCUAGAGUAUGGAAGAGGUGAGUGGAAUUCCGAGUGUAGAGGUGAAAUUCGUAGAUAUUCGGAGGAACACCAGUGGCGAAGGCGGCUCACUGGUCCAUUACUGACGCUGAGGUGCGAAAGCGUGGGGAGCAAACAGG
RNAcentral lists this ribosomal RNA (253 nucleotides) under uncultured bacterium. RNAcentral's name for it is "partial 16S ribosomal RNA". It matches the Rfam family "Bacterial small subunit ribosomal RNA", at positions 524 to 776 of the family's 1533-position model. The record is from RNAcentral.